GUGGUGAGUUUGAAAAUUAAUUAGUUGCGUCCUUUAUUAUUGUGGCAUCUUGCCUUACCGUAAAUCGUUUACAGGGAGAUUACAGAGACAAAGAAAUAGAGAAAAUAUGCAAUUCAGAAGAACAUGAAAUGUAGUGCAUAUUCUGAAAGCGGUUUUUUCGUAGCUCAAAACUUCUGAACAUCAGAAAAAAGAACAAUAAUUUCAUCAAAUCAAAGAUCUAUUAAUCAAAUCAUGUUUUUACACAACAAUCCUGAAAAAGAGGAAUUAAGACAGGCGAUGCUAAACGUAUAUUUUUUAUAAUAAAUUAAAUUUGAAAUUUGUAGUAUUUUAUCUUAUAUAUAAAAAUCUCGUGUCAUGGUGUUUGUGUUUAAACUCCUCCGAAACGGCUUGACCAAUUG
Teleopsis dalmanni is the source of this 398-nucleotide long non-coding RNA. RefSeq lists it as uncharacterized. The transcript is spliced from 3 exons. The record is from RefSeq and is a predicted model, not a curated record. Lineage: Eukaryota; Metazoa; Arthropoda; Insecta; Diptera; Diopsidae.